UACGUAGGGGUCAAGCGUUGUCCGGAUUUAUUGGGCGUAAAGCGCGUGUAGGCGGCCCCACAGGUCCGCUGUGAAAACUCGAGGCUCAACCUCGAGCUGUCGGUGGAAACCGUGUGGCUAGAGUCCGGAAGAGGAGACUGGAAUUCCCGGUGUAGCGGUGGAAUGCGCAGAUAUCGGGAGGAACACCCGUGGCGAAGGCGGGUCUCUGGGACGGUACUGACGCUGAGACGCGAAAGCGUGGGGAGCGAACAGG
Molecule: ribosomal RNA, 253 nt
Filed under: uncultured bacterium
Lineage: Bacteria
Description: partial 16S ribosomal RNA
Rfam family: Bacterial small subunit ribosomal RNA
Source: RNAcentral